UCCUGUUUUGCGGACACCCUCGCCCCCAGAGAUUAAUGUGGCUGCUUAUGACUAAGAAUUCUGGGACCACAGAUGUUCAGAGAAGUAACAUAUACAUAUAAGAAACAUGAUUCCAGUGACCGAGUUCCGGCAGUUCUCCGAGCAGCAGCCUGCCUUCCGGGUGCUGAAGCCGUGGUGGGAUGUGUUCACGGACUACCUCUCGGUGGCCAUGCUGAUGAUCGGGGUGUUUGGAUGUACUUUACAAGAAGCCUGAAAACUCAUUUACUCAAGUUGCCUGUCAAGAUGGUGCCGUGCUUCGAAGAAUUCAGGGAAGCCACUUGCUCAAGUGAUAGUUGAGGCCGUUAGCAUCAAGACGGGCUCCUCGUCUUUCGUUACCUUCACGUCGAAGUAUGCGACAGCGUGCAUUCACAGCGCCGCCUCCGUUGUCCAAUACGCUUUUUGCUUUUCUCUGCCUCUCAUGCCUGAGCCAAAGUUUUUCUGGGAGAAUUAAUAUUUUGGUGAGAUGCCAAGAUGUACUCAGUGUUUAGUACUGAAUUAAAAUGUAACUCGAU
This 551-nucleotide long non-coding RNA is filed under the name Rattus norvegicus (Norway rat). RNAcentral describes it as "long non-coding RNA NONRATT009706". Lineage: Eukaryota; Metazoa; Chordata; Mammalia; Rodentia; Muridae. The record is from RNAcentral.